GGGGAUUUAGCUCAGUGGUUCAAGCGCUUGCUUGGUAAGCAUGAGGUCAUUGAGUUUGAUCCCCA
This 65-nucleotide transfer RNA is filed under the name Cavia porcellus (domestic guinea pig). It matches the Rfam family "tRNA". From Rfam's summary of the family: Transfer RNA (tRNA) molecules are approximately 80 nucleotides in length. Lineage: Eukaryota; Metazoa; Chordata; Mammalia; Rodentia; Caviidae. The record is from Rfam by way of RNAcentral.